Molecule: ribosomal RNA, 492 nt
Filed under: uncultured bacterium
Lineage: Bacteria
Description: partial 16S ribosomal RNA
Rfam family: Bacterial small subunit ribosomal RNA
Source: RNAcentral
AGUGAACGCUGGCGGUAGGCCUAACACAUGCAAGUCGAACGGCAGCACAGUAAGAGCUUGCUCUUACGGGUGGCGAGUGGCGGACGGGUGAGGAAUACAUCGGAAUCUACUUUUUCGUGGGGGAUAACGUAGGGAAACUUACGCUAAUACCGCAUACGACCUACGGGUGAAAGCAGGAGAUCUUCGCACCUUGCGCGAUUGAUUGAGCCGAAGUCGGAUUAGCUAGUUGGCGGGGUAAAGGCCCACCAAGGCAACGAUCCGUAGCUGGUCUGAGAGGAUGAUCAGCCACACUGGAACUGAGACACGGUCCAGACUCCUACGGGAGGCAGCAGUGGGGAAUAUUCGACAAUGGGCGCAAGCCUGAUCCAGCCAUACCGCGUGGGUGAAGAAGGCCUUCGGGUUGUAAAGCCCUUUUGUUGGGAAAGAAAAGCAGCAGGUUAAUACCCCGCUGUUCUGACGGUACCCAAAGAAUAAGCACCGGCUAACUUCGUG